AAAAGUGCAGUUUAGUCUUAGUAAAAUGCACACAAAAAUUUGAGCAUCAGACUUAAGAGUUGAGAUCAGUCGCUAAUAUUUGUCAAAACUGUGAACUUGCAAUAGACCAAUGCACUAGAACAGAACAUUUCAUGGUAAGAUGAUUAUAUGAAUAUCAUGAAUGCUAAAAAGACCAAAUAAAAUAUCACUUUUUGUUUCCUUUUUUUUGUCUUCUAGCCUUCUAGGUUGUAAUCCAAUAACACUUGAUUCUAUGCACAAACAUCUGCUUUUAUUUGCCAGGCUAUUACUUUCACCUUGUUGAGAUAUAGGAAACUCAAAAGACAUUAUGUGUCUCAUGAAUACAAUUGUUGUCUAGCAUGAUAAUUGUUGUUCAUUUUUCUGUGCAUAGUACCAAUUUAAUGAAAUAAUAUAACCUGCAAAUUUUCUUUAAUAGUCAAUGACAUUCUCAUGGCAUGGCUUGAAUCUUUAUUCUUCACAAUUUACCAAGGUAUGCAUGCUUUAACUCUUUAAUUAAUUACACCAAACACAGGACCAGAUCUUAGGGUGAAACACAAAUAGUUAAAUUGACCUUACCAUGCUAUGACCAACAUGAGUCCAUUCUCUCCCAAGGUCUUAUUGUUUGGUUUAGAGUGCUGAUAAAUUUUUGGUGCUUCUCCCUACAAUCAGUAAUAGCAUACUAAAAGUACCUUUGAACUAGAAACCUUAUGAUAUUAUUUUUCCACAAUAAAUUAUUGGUGCUUCUCCCUGUAUAUCAGAGGUUAUAAUCACUCCUGAGCACAACGAAGAAGGGAUUUACACAGUCAGAUUCUACAUUCAGCGAAGAUGCAGGCUAUCUGCUGCUAAUGUUGCUACCGAAGAAAUGAACUUCAUACUUUUAUGUAGAGGCAACACUUACUAAUAUGAUGCUCGAAUUUGUGAUGAAUGAUGUGUGUGUGUGUGUGCUAUUUUUGGACCAGUAUUUAAAACUGACAACCAUGAAGUUUUGGUACACAUGAAUCCCAAGCACUUUGUGUAACAUAUGGCUAAACAAAAACAUUGAUGUCUGAUUUGUGAUCCAGUUUAUUUUGAUGUCAAUUUAUUAUACAUGUAUAUAUCUUUGCAAUGACUUCUUAUGUA
This is a long non-coding RNA of Zea mays, 1116 nucleotides long. RefSeq lists it as uncharacterized. The record is from RefSeq and is a predicted model, not a curated record. The transcript has 2 exons. Lineage: Eukaryota; Viridiplantae; Streptophyta; Magnoliopsida; Poales; Poaceae.